RNAcentral lists this ribosomal RNA (474 nucleotides) under uncultured bacterium. Its description in RNAcentral is "bacterial SSU rRNA". It matches the Rfam family "Bacterial small subunit ribosomal RNA", at positions 28 to 493 of the family's 1533-position model. The record is from RNAcentral.
GAUGAACGCUAGCGGCAGGCCUAACACAUGCAAGUCGAGGGGCAGCACGGUGUAGCAAUACACUGGUGGCGACCGGCGCACGGGUGCGUAACGCGUAUGCAACCUACCCAUAACAGGGGGAUAACACUGAGAAAUUGGUACUAAUACCCCAUAACAUCAGGACCGGCAUCGGUUCUGGUUGAAAACUCCGGUGGUUAUGGAUGGGCAUGCGUUGUAUUAGCUGGUUGGUGAGGUAACGGCUCACCAAGGCAACGAUACGAUAGGGGGGACUGAGAGGUUAACCCCCCACAUCGGUACUGAGACACGGACCAAACUCCUACGGGAGGCAGCAGUGAGGAAUAUUGGUCAAUGGACGCAAGUCUGAACCAGCCAUGCCGCGUGCAGGAAGACGGCUCUAUGAGUUGUAAACUGCUUUUGUACGAGAGUAAACGCUCUUAACGUGUAAGAGCCUGAAAGUAUCGUACGAAUAAGGAU